UGUAAAACUAUACAGAUGAAAUGCACAC
Molecule: non-coding RNA, 28 nt
Filed under: Mus musculus (house mouse)
Lineage: Eukaryota; Metazoa; Chordata; Mammalia; Rodentia; Muridae
Source: RNAcentral